Molecule: ribosomal RNA, 253 nt
Filed under: uncultured bacterium
Lineage: Bacteria
Description: partial 16S ribosomal RNA
Rfam family: Bacterial small subunit ribosomal RNA
Source: RNAcentral
UACGUGGGUGGCAAGCGUUGUCCGGAAUUACUGGGCGUAAAGGGAGCGUAGGCGGACAGUUUAGUCAGAGGUGAAAGCCCAGGGCUCAACCCUGGAAUUGCCUUUGAUACUGAUUGUCUUGAGUAUGGGAGAGGUGUGUGGAACUCCGAGUGUAGAGGUGAAAUUCGUAGAUAUUCGGAAGAACACCAGUGGCGAAGGCGACACACUGGCCCAUUACUGACGCUGAGGCUCGAAAGCGUGGGGAGCAAACAGG